GCCGCCUCCCUCCCGCACUCGCCCCUCCCCCGCGGCCAGCUCCUCCCGCCUCGCCUCUCUCUCUCCCUCCAAACCCUAGAACCUCAUCCGCGCCUCCCAGCCCCGCCGCCGUCCAGGUCCAGCCCCAUGCCGCCGUCGUCUUCUCGCCCAGCCGGCCGCCGCCGCACCGCACGAUCGUGCGCAAGGGUGAGAAGGGAACUACUGCCCGCUCCUGGAGCACGAGGAGGACGUGGUGAUGCGGCGCCCAGAUCCACGGUGACAUCGACGCGCCGUCAUCGACCUGAGCCGCCACCGUCCUCGAGGUCGGCCAUGGAGGGGGGUCCGACCCAGCUGCAGCCGUUGACGGAGACACCCCAAACCCUAGCACGGGGACCGAGCCGCCAUGGAAGGAGGCCAGCGGCGAGGACGACGCCAUGGUCCCUGCUGUGCUCCCGGAUCCGUCGCCCAUCUGCCCCGACCUGGCCCUUCUCCUUCCCGCCGGCCAAGCGGAGCCGCUCGUGUCGCUGCUCUACCUGACGAGGGCAUCGUGCUGAGCCCCAUUAUGAGACGGCUGUGAGACUUUUCAAUGAUCCAGAUGCUGCACAUCCUGGGAGAAUAUUGAUGGCUAGGGUUGAUUGUGCAUCAGAGGACAGGUUGUGUGCUUAGGGAGGCGGCAAGGCCCAAGGAAUCUUGCGCAUAAAACAAGAUAAUGACCGAGAAGAGCAUGUGAGGGACCAACAGGUGUUUAUCCUGAGUGAUUUCAGUGUUUGUCAAGUCUGAUUAAGCUUGCCACCUUGCUUUUUCUCGAGCACAUAGCAACUGAAGAAGAGAUGAAGGCAACUGAACAACGUGCUCGCAAAGUGAAGGGUUCUUGCAAGAAGAAAGAAUCGUUGUCAUCUUAUUUUCAUGACGGCAUGGUCUCUCGACGUGUGAUGGAUUCACUCACACGGAGGAAGCUUUUCUCCGCUACUCCGGCGACAAGCGCACAAGCUUUUGGGUCCAUGGCGCCACCGGUAAACAAGAACAACUCUGGGUGCUUGAUUCUGUCUCUGGAUAAGUGAAAAUAGAUGGCAGCGAAGUUGAACUGGUUUUGCAAACACUAGCAAGUAUUUCUUCAUCGCUUCCAUCGUGCAAGUUGCGCUAGCAUUGCGGGCAUUUUUCUUCAUAUUUGGGAAGAGGGGAUGAGGUUGAAAAAUGAAGCUGGUGAUGAAAAGAAUGGAGGGCACCCGCAAAGUGAUGACGAGGAAGGAGCCCUGCAGGAGACAGCUUUCAGAGCUUGAAGAAGAUGGUCUCACAUCCACGUUGAUCUAUGAAAAUAUCAUACCAGGCAAGCGGCGGCGGCGACGGACUGGUCACCCCGCAACACCAUUCUUCCUUCACGCCAGCACAAGGGCCGCAUCGUCCACUACGACGCCGCUCGUGGCGGGCGCUGCUACGCGAGCCGCCGGAGGCGGAGCAGUCCAAGUGCCGGGUGGGGCGGGCGCUGGGCAAGGUGGGCGCGGCGCUCCGGCUAUGCGUGUUCGACAUCCGUGACGAGAAGGGCGACUCGAUGCUCCCGCAUGACGGCUUGGAGGGCGUGCACGGCGUGUGGCUGAUGGAGGGCGUGUCGGCGGCCUCGCGCCCGUCGUGGUAGCGCAUGGACGAGGAGUUGGUGGAGGACAUCUUGGUGUGGUACUUCCUGACCGGCGUCGAACGUGCAAUUCUUCAGGAGUGCGAGACAUCCCAUGCUCACGUAUACCUAUUUUUAUCUUUAUCUUUUCUUUACCUACUAAUCUUUACCUCGUGUGGAGAGGAGGUAGGUCGUCCCUCCUUGCGGACGCACGGACGAGGGUCUCAUGCUGCCGCCGUGCAUCAGGUGUUCCUGUUGUGCCCCCCUUGCUGCGUAGUUUUCAGCUCAUAGAUUAGAAGGCAAGGAUGUACUUGAGCGGUAUGAGAAGACCCAAUUCCGUUAUCUCAUAAGUCAGAAGUUUCCCAUUUACUGACUUUGGUACUACUUUUAAAAUGAACAGUCAAUCUAUUAUCAACACCAUGAGUAUGUGUCAAUUGUAGAUUCUUAAUUGCUUAGAAUUAUUUUAUUUGUUUGAUUCCUUCAUUUGAUAUUUAUUCAACAACAAAAUAUUUUCAAGAUUGACCCGUGUGAGGAUUGAACAUGUGAAUAGAUGUGGCAUCAAUCUAAGUCAGUUGACACCUUGCUCAUCUUUUUUGCUUGGAGUCUGCCUCUUGCUCCAUAGUGAAGCAUGGGCACAAAUAUACAACUAAACCGACAGGGUGAUUUCAUCGGUGGAAGCAGUGCGUUCACAAAUUAUAUGAUCGUGUGCGUGGAUCAUUUUGCAACGCACGGGCAUUUUUCCUAGUAAUAAUAAAGAAUGGAUUGAGUCUCUCGGGUUCAUCGUCGCGGCAGUUUUGCUAAACCCCCCUAUAAUUUUAGGUAAUUAACCCGCAGCACAAUUUAAAGUUUAUGAACAGAGAUACCGUUUCGUUCCAGCUUGGGCCUUUUCUAAUGGGUCUUCAGAAAAAUAAUACGUAUAGGACACAGGAGCACGGGCUCCUCAAUGCGUACGGGGGAUUGGAUGAUUUGCCUCAUUUUACAAGGGUUGGAUGAUUUGCCCUUUGAUUGUCUCAAUGACAGUGGCCCCGGACCCCACCUGGUAGCCUGUCGGGGGGUAAAUGAUCCAAUGGAGAAGUAAAGUGGGGCAAAAGAUGCCGCCGCCGCCGUGCACCCGUUACUCUCUGGCGCCGCCGCCGCCCUGCUCUCGUUCCACUCCCUACCCGUCUCCAUCUUCUCCGGCGCCACCACGAUCGUCAACGUCCUGCCGCUGUAUGUCUCCGAUUUGGAUCGGAGUCCGUGUUCCCCCAGGAUAAGUGCUGCAACACGAAUCCAUGGCGUGCCCGACCCAAAUUUCAGAGAGACUUGUCUGCCAUUAGAAGGAGCCCUCGACCGGAAUCUCCAUUAAAUCGCAUCAUAUCGCAACUUUUGAAGAGUCGUCCAGGAUCGUCUCAGCCGAGUUCGCCGGAACACCUGAGCCGGAAGAACAUACCCUGCUGAACAUGCUACCCCAGAGGUAUGUACUAGCUUUUGCCAAAUUAUUCUGUAAAAUUUUCAUCUACAAUCAUAAAAAGUAAUGUUCUUCUUGGUCUGGUCAGAAAGUACUGCACCUUUUUUCUGCAAUCUUUGUAUUUGUUCUGCUUGAAAAAAAUCUAGGACUGAUCUGUCUGCCAUUGUUCAGAUCACAUCUUCCUUUGCUAGAACACGUGAGCUGAUUCCAACUUUGGCCUCAAGUUGCUCCCGUCAAUGACAAGUGUAGUUUUAUGGGGUUCACAAUUGACUUUUUCAACUAUAAUACAAUAGUCAGUGCAUGAGACAAAUAACUCAUGUUGGAUCGACACCUCCAUAUCAGAUAGCUAUAUUCAGCGCAAGUUAUUGAUGUAUUUCUUCAACUACCUCUCAUUUACUGCAUGUUGAUUUUCUCAUGAACUGCUUGCUGCAAAUAUAGGGAGGAGUGGGAGUGCGGUGUUCAUGAAAUUGAGUAUCUCAGAAGAAUUUGGUUUGACACUUAUUUUCCUCAACCUGUUAUUCUUCAAAUGUGCUUCCCAUGGAUUUGAUAAACUUGGUGAGUUAAUGUUAUGUGUCAGGUAUGGCCAUAAGAUACUCAUGAAACUUAUUUUAUUUUGCCUCACACAAGAUGUAUGUUGUUUAGACUCAUGUACUGUCAGUACUGGUGGAUCGAUGAUCUAAGGAUCAUAUGAAUGAUUAAUGGAGGAUAAUUCAUAUUCAGUUCUCCUCUCAAAUUUUGUGGUGCCAAGCUUGAUCUUUAUCCAUCUAACUGACUGAAAGUGCCUUCUAAUCACUAUUGAAAGCAUAUGUUAGUUAGUUUGACUGUAUAUACCACACAAAAAGUAAAAAAUGAAUUCUAGAAAAAAUUAGACACAGAUACUACAGAACCAGUGGACCCUCAAGAAACAAAAGGCACACCUAUUGAUCUUCCAAGUUAAAAAUCUGAAAAUAACUUUCAUUUAGUGAUGGAUAUAUAGUCAAGAAAGGAUGCCUUUCCCUAAAGAUACAAAACAAAAUCGUGUUCGUGUAUGUCCGGCUGACAGAUGAAUCGAUCUCCUUUCAAGUAUCAACCCAGCAACCUUCGUGUAUGUACAUGUGUGCAUCAAGGAUGCACGGGUCCAUUGGCCUGCAUACCACACAUCCCUUCACUAAUUCCAUCAGUAUCAUUCUUAACAAGGUAAGUAUGAUUCCCUAAUCCCUGAUUUUAUUAAUUGAUCUUUGAUCCUUCAUCCCUAAUGUCGUUAUACCUUAUUGAUUCUAUAAAAGAUCUCAAACAAGAACAUACCAUUUUUUAGGCUACAAUUCCUAUAGCUUGCCUUGUCAAUUUGAUAAAAUUACAUGUGUGAUGGAGGUUGUAACUUAUUACGGUUUACAUUGUCAGAAUGAUAUAUGUGUCGUCUCUAAACAUAUGUAUAUAUUUUGUGUGCCGGAUUUUCUGAUGUAGAUGCUAUAUAAGAGGAAGCUAUUCGACAAUUCUGCUCAAGUUGGUACGGAUCAGAUCAAUUUUAUUCAGUAAAUAUUUAUGCUUGAUAGAUACAAGCCUCCCUCUUCUGCCCUUCUUUUCUCCUUCCUCUACAGGUCGCCAGCACAUGUGAAUCGUCCGUCAAGAGCAUGCUUGUGACAUCAUUACAUGUGAUGCAGGGCAAAAGGAUGUUGUCAGAAUGUAAAAACACAUUUAACCAUUUUCCGGGUUUUUUCCUCGCCCGUUUUCGCCGUCAUAUACACUGCAUCUCCCACUGUAACGGACAGCCAAAUUUGUAUUCUUGAAAGUUUUAAUCAUUUCUAUUGCAGCUAAGUGUUCAAGUGCAAUCUCUAGCCAAGUUCUCUUUGUUGUUGUGUUGAAUUUUGAGGAAAGGCGGCCAAGCAGCUCAUGGCAUCUGUGUCACGCCUGCUCUGCCGCUGCCUUGACCCGCCGACAACGUCGCCGGUUGAGCCGCAAGGGUGCAAGAUCAUCGUGGGGCCCAUUGCAUGGGCUCCGAGUAUGCUUGAUUGCCAUGUCGGAGGCGAAGGUGCUAGAGCUUGGUGGCGUGUUUGCAUUUGUGGAUGCAUGAAUAAUUGUCAAGGAGGCCGAAGCCAGUGCUAUUACAGUUGGACUGAAGGAAUUGUAUAACGUAUUCUGAGGCUCCUUGGUGGCGGAGAUCGACUACGCAGUGGGGAAAUGAACUAGGGGUUGAUUCUGUAAGCAGAUCAUUGUCCUACCCAAUUAUUGUUGAUAUUAAAUCUGCGCUGAGUAAUUUUUAGGCAUUAUCACAUCAGAACUGUCAAGAGGGACAGACAAUGGGCUGGCUCAUGAACUAGCCAAUGAUGCUAAAGCUCAUGGAGACCUUGUGGUUGCGUAUGGUGUCCCGGACCAACUCCAUGAUCAUCUCUGGAAGGAAAACAAUGCAGCCUUGACGUCGGCCUAAGUUGUAAUCCUCAAAAAUGAUAUUGCUUGCAGAUAGGUUAUACAUAAACAUGCAUGAUGUAGGUAUCUUAAUUUUAAUUUUGAAUACUGAGAUCUAUUCAGAUGCUUUCCUUACUCUUAUGGCUAAAAAAAUCCAGCAGACAGUGACUAAAAUUUGUUAGUUUUACUCAACUUGCUACUGCUUGAUCAGUACUCAAUCAGGCUGGGGAUGACCAUGAUAGCUGGUGUUGAGUAGGUAUAUGCAUUGAAUUUUCCGUUGUGCCAAAACUAACACAUUAGAAUCUUCCAAUUUGGUGCUACCAUAUUUUAAAGUAAGAACACUAUGAUGCAAAGGAAUCUUAUUAUGUAGCCAUAUGUAAUCUCAGUUUGUUGCUAUGUAUAUAAACUAUGACAGGAGUAGGCCCAUAUAGAUGUGUAUCCAUUUUUGCCUUCUACUGAUCUAUGACAAUGGGGAUGUGCUGGACUAAGUGGCCGUUGCUAUUGAAGCAAAGGAGUGGAACUCGCAAUUUUUCAAUCAGUGGAGGUUAUCUUUCAUAUGGAUUUUAUUAUUAGAUACUUGCAGAUGUGUGUCACUUCCUUGGAUCAUGUUUGAUUUUUAAAAUUUUAGAUGUUCAUGUAACCAUCAAUUAUGCUACUGGCAGUCCUUGUACAUUAUUUUUUAUCUGCUCUAAAAAAUUAUCUCGGUUUAUAAGCAUCAUAUGUUUUAAUGUAUAAGUAAUAUUAUGAGUUGAUCCAGUGCCGAAAACAAUUCAGUUGAACAUGUUUGUUCUAGCAGUUUUAGGCAACAAUUCAUCUGGUUGGAUGGUUAGAGGAACUGUGGUAUCUAUUUCAGGAUUUCCAGCGAUGCACUUUCAGUGGGAGGAGACGUUCCUGUCGACGACGAGGCGUCUAUUGUGACUUAGUAAAUUUCAAGAUGACAUGCCGGCUCAGUCUCUCGGAGGUGCUCAUAGGGGUAGGGUGUGCGUGUGUGCGUUCAUAGGGGUGAGUGUAUGUGCGUAUGUGUGAGCGCUUGUGUCUGUACUGAUGUUAAAAAAAAUGUAUUUGCACCAGUACAAUACCUAUGCCACUA
This is a long non-coding RNA of Triticum aestivum (bread wheat), 6507 nucleotides long. RefSeq lists it as uncharacterized. NCBI's taxonomy places the organism in Eukaryota, Viridiplantae, Streptophyta, Magnoliopsida, Poales, Poaceae. The record is from RefSeq and is a predicted model, not a curated record. The transcript is spliced from 12 exons.